UUGGCUCUUGACUUUAUUAACCGUAAAGCCUUUAAUCUCUCUUAUCAGCCUAAUGGAAAUAAUGCUACUGGCUUCCCUUAUCUGGAAAUGUCAUCACCAGGAUCAAGAGGUGAGCAACUGAAGCACACAGCAAAAAUUCUUGUCUAAAGAGUCAUAACAAAAGUGAAGGAGAAAAAAAAUGCAUGUACCUGAUAGAUACCAAGAUCAUCAGUUUCUACCAGACAUCGGAAGUUCUUGGCUCCCAGCCUAGUAAAUGUUAGUUGGAAGGAGGAAGGAGUAUGGAAGGAAUCGAGAAUCUGCCCUCCAUCAUAGACAGAGAGAUAAAGGGAGCUGCUUGGAACCACAGGCUGCUGAUGGUUCCAAGGCGAAGGAUUGUAAGAGAUCCCUUUUCAUUCCACAGGCAACAGUGGAAGAAAGAACUUUGCUGCUAAACACAUAAAUACUGACCCACUUUAAUAAUUCAAAUCAGAGCACAGGUCCCUGCUCUUUCAGAAUGCUGAGUUAAAUUCAAAGGCACACAAAGCCGGCAAAUAAUGGAAAAGGGCAGAUCCUAUGGAACCCUGCUGAAGCAGAUGGAGGCCGGAGCUGUGCGGGAAUCGAAAGCAUAGGGCCCUCUGCUCCUGCAAGAAUAAAACAAGGCGAUACGAUACAGUGUUAUAUCACAUAAUUGUUACCAUAUUAGUUAAAUCCCUAAAUGAAG
Non-coding RNA from Myodes glareolus (Bank vole), 700 nucleotides. NCBI's taxonomy places the organism in Eukaryota, Metazoa, Chordata, Mammalia, Rodentia, Cricetidae. The record is from RefSeq and is a predicted model, not a curated record.